This is a long non-coding RNA of Amblyraja radiata (thorny skate), 741 nucleotides long. RefSeq lists it as uncharacterized. The record is from RefSeq and is a predicted model, not a curated record. NCBI's taxonomy places the organism in Eukaryota, Metazoa, Chordata, Chondrichthyes, Rajiformes, Rajidae. The transcript is spliced from 3 exons.
GAUGACAUAAGAGCAACUUUGGUGGACCAUGUCAUAAACCAUGGCCUGACUAUGAGGGAAGCUGGGCAGAGAGUCCACCCUAAUCUAAGCCGUUGCACAGUUUCAUCCAUAAUAAGGACAUUCCGACUGGAAAACAGAAUGACUAGAAGACCUUCUGGGGGUGGACGCCAACGCCUGUUCACCCAACAGCAGGAACUUGCCAUUGUGGACCUAGUCAGAGCAAACAAUGCAAUCCGUCUCCAGCAGCUACGGCAACAAAUACUUGCAGAUAGGCAAGUGUUCAACAACAUAAACCGAGUAAGCAUUACCACUAUAAGACGCAUCUUGGUAAAGCACAAAAUGACCAUGAAGCAACUGUACAGGGUCCCAUUUGAGAGGAACAGUGUCAGGGUCAAAGGACUUUGACGUGAAUAUGUACAGAGAAUCUUGGCCAUGGAUGGAGCUGCACAGCCUCAUGAAUUUAUUUACAUUGAUGAGGCUGGAUUCAACCUUAGCAAAACAAGACGACGGGGUCGUAAUAUAAUUGGCCAAAGGGCCAUUGUGCACGGCCCGGGGCAGCGCGGGGGAAAUAUCUCAUUGUGUGCCGCCAUAAGCCUUCGAGGGCUUCUGUACCAUCAUGCAAAACUAGGUCCAUACAAUACACAACAUAUCAUCACAUUUCUAGAUGCUCUUCAUAAUAUAGCUGUACAGGACAGACCAGAGCAGCCCAGGUUUGUUGUUGUCUGGGAUAAUGUCAGUUUC